UCUCCUUAUCUUGCACACCGGUUUCCAAAGACGGGGGAUCAUUUUGUAGUGUCAGCAUUAAAACCUUCAUCGGGGGGUAUUUAUGAUAAGGAGCUGCCCCUGUAGCCAGUUCGAUAGCAGUGAUCCCAAAGCUCCAGAUGUCUGCCUUGAAAUCGUAUCCUCUGACCUGUUCCAUAACUUCUGGUGCCAUCCAGCAAGGUGUGCCUACAAAUGUUUUCCUGACUUUAUUUCUGGUAAUGUCACCACCAGUGGCCAAAAAAGCACUAACGCCAAAGUCUGCAAUUUGCACUGAGCCAUCUUCUCCAAGAAGAAUGUUUCCUGC
This 322-nucleotide long non-coding RNA is filed under the name Gallus gallus (chicken). The record is from RNAcentral. Lineage: Eukaryota; Metazoa; Chordata; Aves; Galliformes; Phasianidae.